GACAACGUGGCCGAGUGGUCAAACGUAUGACUCGAAAUCAUUUCUCAUUUGAGGUGUAGGUUCAAAUCCUGCAGUUGUCG
RNAcentral lists this transfer RNA (80 nucleotides) under Entamoeba invadens IP1. It matches the Rfam family "tRNA". From Rfam's summary of the family: Transfer RNA (tRNA) molecules are approximately 80 nucleotides in length. The record is from Rfam by way of RNAcentral. Lineage: Eukaryota; Evosea; Mastigamoebida; Endamoebidae.